AACGAACGCUGGCGGCAUGCCUAACACAUGCAAGUCGAACGAGACCUUCGGGUCUAGUGGCGCACGGGUGCGUAACGCGUGGGAACCUGCCCUUAGGUUCGGAAUAACUCCCCGAAAGGGGUGCUAAUACCGGAUAAUGUCUUCGGACCAAAGAUUUAUCGCCUUUGGAUGGGCCCGCGUUGGAUUAGCUAGUUGGUAGGGUAAAAGCCUACCAAGGCGACGAUCCUUAGCUGGUCUGAGAGGAUGAUCAGCCACACUGGGACUGAGACACGGCCCAGACUCCUACGGGAGGCAGCAGUGGGGAAUAUUGGAAAAUGGGCGAAAGCCUGAUCCAGCAAUGCCGCGUGAGUGAUGAAGGCCUUAGGGUUGUAAAGCUCUUUUACCCGGGAUGAUAAUGACAGUACCGGGAGAAUAAGCUCCGGCUAACUCCGUG
This 433-nucleotide ribosomal RNA is filed under the name uncultured bacterium. RNAcentral describes it as "partial 16S ribosomal RNA". It matches the Rfam family "Bacterial small subunit ribosomal RNA", at positions 29 to 507 of the family's 1533-position model. The record is from RNAcentral.